CACGUAGGGGGCAAGCGUUGUCCGGAUUUAUUGGGCGUAAAGAGCUCGUAGGCGGCUCAGUAAGUCAGGUGUGAAACCUCCAGGCUCAACCUGGAGACGCCACCUGAUACUGCUGUGGCUAGAGUCCGGUAGGGGAGCGUGGAAUUCCUGGUGUAGCGGUGAAAUGCACAGAUAUCAGGAGGAACACCAGCGGCGAAGGCGGCGCUCUGGGCCGGAACUGACGCUGAGGAGCGAAAGCGUGGGUAGCAAACAGG
RNAcentral lists this ribosomal RNA (254 nucleotides) under uncultured bacterium. Its description in RNAcentral is "partial 16S ribosomal RNA". It matches the Rfam family "Bacterial small subunit ribosomal RNA", at positions 524 to 776 of the family's 1533-position model. The record is from RNAcentral.